CGCACAUAAGACAUGCAAGUCGAACGAAAGUACGUUAGAAAAUGAAUUGACGAUUUAUCUGAUUGAAGUUUUAACAAUGGCUUAGUGGCGGACUGGUGAGUAACACGUAAGGAACCUGCCUAUCAGAGGGGGAAUAACAGUGAGAAAUCAUUGCUAAUACCGCAUAAGCUAGUAGUAUCGCAUGAUACAGCUAGAAAAGGAGUAAUCCGCUGAUAGAUGGCCUUGCGCCUGAUUAGCUAGUUGGUGGGGUAAAGGCCUACCAAGGCGACGAUCAGUAGCCGAACUGAGAGGUUGAACGGCCACAUUGGGACUGAGAUACGGCCCAGACUCCUACGGGAGGCAGCAGUCGGGAAUAUUGCGCAAUGGAGGAAACUCUGACGCAGUGACGCCGCGUAUAGGAAGAAGGUUUUCGGAUUGUAAACUAUUGUCGUGAGGGAAGAAGAUGACAGUACCUCAGGAGGAAGCUCCGGCUAACUAUGUGCCAGCCGCCGC
Molecule: ribosomal RNA, 492 nt
Filed under: uncultured bacterium
Lineage: Bacteria
Description: bacterial SSU rRNA
Rfam family: Bacterial small subunit ribosomal RNA
Source: RNAcentral